Molecule: long non-coding RNA, 305 nt
Filed under: Androctonus crassicauda
Lineage: Eukaryota; Metazoa; Arthropoda; Arachnida; Scorpiones; Buthidae
Source: RNAcentral
GUGUUCCAGUUGAGUGGUGGGAUGCUACUAUGAAUCUAAUUUCUAACUUAACAGCUCAAGUAAUUAGUCUUCAAGAGCAAGUUACCAAAUUAAGUUCUCCGGGGAUCUCACCAGCCACUGGAAUUUAUCAGUCGUCAGGACAGGAACAACGUAAUCUGGAAACACCUGUCUUCUCACUGAGGCCGGAAUUGUUGUCACUCUCUCGACCAAUUGUUGUUAUGAAUGCUCUGUUGCUACCCAUGCCGAAAUAUGAUGGUAAGACAAACAUAAAUGAUUUUUCUCUGAUAUGGAACAUUAUUUUGCAG